GACAGAGGGUGCGAACGUUGCUCGGAAUGACUGGGCGUAAAGCGCGUGCAGGCGGCUUCGCAAGUCCGAUGUGAAAGCCCAGGGCUCAACCCUGGAAGUGCAUUGGAAACUACGAAGCUCGAGUCCUGGAGAGGAGAGCGGAAUUCCCGGUGUAGAGGUGAAAUUCGUAGAUAUCGGGAGGAACACCAGUGGCGAAGGCGGCUCUCUGGACAGGUACUGACGCUGAGACGCGAAAGCGUGGGUAGCAAACAGG
Molecule: ribosomal RNA, 253 nt
Filed under: uncultured prokaryote
Description: partial 16S ribosomal RNA
Rfam family: Bacterial small subunit ribosomal RNA
Source: RNAcentral